Molecule: long non-coding RNA, 2705 nt
Organism: Mus musculus (house mouse)
Lineage: Eukaryota; Metazoa; Chordata; Mammalia; Rodentia; Muridae
Product: predicted gene, 38651
Exons: 2
Source: RefSeq, a predicted model, not a curated record
AAAAAAAAAAAAGAGAUGCGUUCUGAGGAGGCUUAACAGCCAGUGUUCUUCCUGCCCCAUGCUCCUUAGCUGUGUGUCACCCUGCUCAGUUUGUCAGCCACCUUUCUAAGUACUUCCCAUAGAUUAGCAAAUUGUAUCUUGCAACACAUCAUGAGGCAGGGCUGGAGAUGACAAACCAGAUAGAGAAGGGCUUAGCAACUUACUUGCUGGGCUUUGUUUGUCUGUUAAGUGGGGCUAGGAUUGUAAACUAGGCUGACUGGCACCUGAGGUCAAAUUCUUACCUUCCAUUGUUGCACCUAGAAUGAAGCUAGAUGCAUAAGAGGGAGUGUAAUAAAGAGGAGAUGGAUGAAGUUGGAUUUUGGUCUUGAUAGUUAGAGGAAGGAAGGAAUAGGGCAGGAGUUGGGGAGCAAUAAAGGCAAACAUCAAGGCUAUGGGGUGAGGGCAGGUAGAAGGAAACUUUGGUGCCUGUUUCGUAUUGUCCUUGCUCAGCUCACCAGCCCUGUGCCGCCAAUGACAAAGAUAGCUUGCUGAUUUCACCAGGAUAAUGCAGGUGGAUGGGCCACACUCCCGGUUGCCAAUGGCCUUAGUUGGAUUCCAGCCGAUAAGCUGCCUCUCCCAAGAAGAGCCACUUGGUGCCUUUGGUCCUCUCCAAAGGGUUGUCUGAGAUUCUGUUUCCUCUCUUUAGUCUUGUACAAAGGCGAGAGCUGGCAAAAUUGCCCGUGACCCUGAGAUGCUGCCAUACCUAGUCCUGGUCUCUCUUUGGCAGUAGAUGCUAGCUAGCCUCCUUCUGGCAAACACACACAGAUCUAGGAAAUCCUGAGUGUCCUGCUGCUCUCCUCUUAGCAGUGUAGUGUUCUGUCCCACUCACGGGUUUCAUUGUCUCCUAGAGGGCUUGCUUUUUAUAGAUGCUGCAGACAGUGGCCAAAAUACAUGCGUGUGUGUGUGUGUGUGUGUGUGUGUGUGUAUGUGUGUGUGUGUGUGAGUGAGUGUAUUUUGGAACUCAGAGUUUUGUAUAUGCUAAGCACAAACUACUGCCAAACUGCAAGGAUUAGUAAUCCCUUCAAGGCCUUUUUGUUUGUUUGCUUUUUUCGAGACAGGGUUUCUCUGUAUAGCCCUGGCUGUCCUGGAACUCACUUUGUAGACCAGGCUGGCCUCGAACUCAGAAAUCUGCCUACCUCUGCCUCCCAAGUGCUGGGAUUAGAGGUGUGUGCCACUACCGCCCGGCUUUUUUUUUUUUAAAACAAGGUAUAUGUGAUAGUUUGUGUAUGCUUGGCCCAGGGAGUGGCAAUUAGAAGGGGGUGGCCCUGUUGGAGUAGGUGUGGCCUUGUUGGAGUAGGUGUGUCACUGUGGGUGUGGGCUUUAAGACCCUCAUCCUAACUGCCUGGAAGCCAGUAUUCUUCUAGUGUAAGACUCUGGCGAGCCUUAGCUUACCAGGGGAGUGGGGAACCGAUGCAAAAAGCAAGAGGAAUUUAUUGUUCCAACAUGUUGGGGUUACCCUGCACAUGGAGAGAGAAGGACCACGAGCAGCCCAUCCAGUAGCCUUUAUACAGUUCUCCAGGCAGCAGCCAUUAGGCACCAUGUGAUUGGCAGAACAGUGCGACUUUUAAACUGAUUGGUCUAUAGGGAGUGAAUUGGCCGGACAACGGGUUGCAGAAUGUGUCUAUGAGCUCCAGUGCUUGGUCCCUCCCCCCUGUGGUCUGAGGAAUGUAAUUAGCUCUCCCUUCCAGAGGGGAGGGGUGCCUGUGUUCUUUAUAACCUUUGGCUUCCAGGAGGGGAGGGGUCUGGUGGACUUUUCUGAAGUUCCUGAGUUGACUUCUUCACUCGCAGCCUUCAGAUGAAGGUGUAGAACUCUCAGCUCCUCCUGCACCAUGCCUGCCUGGAUGCUGUCAUGUUCCUGCCUUGAUGAUAAUGGACUGAACCUCUAAACCUGCGGUCGGGUGAGUUGAACAAGAGUUGAAACUGAAGAAGCUAAAGAGACCAUCACCUGCAAGCUCCCAUUUAAGACUUCAGCUAGUCAACAUGGUGGGGGCGUGGAGAAUCAGGGCCAGAGUGAAGAUGUCGUCUUCUCCAGCUUGAGACAGAGAGACCCAGCCACCCAAAGCUGACGUCAGAAGAAUUCCCUUGAGAGGGGCUGCUGGGAGGGGUAGUCUUAAGGUUGUCCUGAGAUCUGCUUUUUCCCUGGUGGUAACCUGGUUACAUCGGCCGUAACCAUGGAGACUUGAAAAGGGGGCCACUGUGUCUGUGACAUUAUGGUCCAAAUGUUCACUCUUCCUUUUCCAAACGCCCUUCAGACUCUGAGAUAGUAAGGUUGGAAUAUUAACACAUAAGUAUGUUAAGGCAGUAGGGGGCACGCAACACUAAUUACCGAUGUCAAGUACUUGAAUCUAGGUUGUUUCACGAUGAGAUGUUGCUUGCUGUCGGUCACAGGUCAUGGGCACCUGGACAUGAACGCUUCUUCCUGGUUCUUUCCACAAGGUAAACUUCAUCUUUGGCACACACCCCAUACCUGUCAGCACCCUUCAGGUCUAAGCCAAGAGAACGUGGACAAGCCCCUUCAUGUAGGUUUGGCUUUCCAGUUACUGGUUCACAGCCAGCAAUCACACUGAAGCUCAGGCCUCUGCCAUCAGACUCCUGGAUGUGAAGGCAAACUCUGCUUUUUAACAGUUGUCUAAUGAGGACUAAGAAUCAACACACAGACUAAGAAA